GAGUAUAUAGUUUAAUGGUAGAACAUUUGUCUUUUAAGCAAUUUAAUGUUGGUUCGAAUCCAACUAUACUCA
Molecule: transfer RNA, 72 nt
Filed under: Magnusiomyces paraingens
Lineage: Eukaryota; Fungi; Ascomycota; Dipodascomycetes; Dipodascales; Dipodascaceae
Description: Saprochaete ingens tRNA
Rfam family: tRNA
About the family: Transfer RNA (tRNA) molecules are approximately 80 nucleotides in length. Their secondary structure includes four short double-helical elements and three loops (D, anti-codon, and T loops).
Source: Rfam by way of RNAcentral